AGCCCAGCACAGCACAGAUUUACAAAAUGAUACACAAAGACCUCAGAGAGUCUUGCUUUGUUGUCCAGGCUGGAAUGCAGUGGCUCAAUUUUGGUUCACUGCAACCUGCACCUCCCAGAUUCAAGUGAUUCUCCUGCUUCAGCCUCCCGAGUAGCUGGGAUUACAGUGGUACAUCCUGUAGUUGAGGGCUUCUUACACCUGAUGAAAUACCAUAGGUUCUGCAUGUCAGAUGGAGUCUCACUCUGUCACCCAGGCUGCAGUCCAGUAGCAUGAUCCCGGCUCACUACAACCUCUGCUUCCUGGGUUCAAGCAAUUCUCCUGCUUGUGAUUUCCUCCAUUUGGGUUAGAUAAGGACCAAUGAGAGGUACAUAUUAUUAUCCACGUUUUACAGAAGAGAAAACUGAAGUUUAAAGAGUUUAAGUAAUUUUCCAAGAUGGUAGCUACUGAAUGCUGAGAUGGAGACAACCCGUGGCUUCUUGCCUCCCAGGCUUACCACAGUGCUCUACGGCCUCAGCUAAAAUAUCUCAAUGUUUAAAGAACAUAAAAGGUUUUCUUUUUGCUCAGUGUCAUAAAAGUGAUGACUCAUCCAACACUGGGUCAAAAAUCAAUCACCAUUCCUAACAUAAGGUAUCUGAAACAUGUAUUUUACUGAAUAUUGGAAACCUCACGUGUUUGUGUAUUUGGGUUCACCCAUAUAUGGUAACUAGUGACCAAGUAAUCAUCUGGCGCCCUGAGUAUUGGCAAACAUCUACAGGAUAAGGCUGUCUUUAAGUCAAAUAAAUUUGGAAAGUUUCAAGUCACCAAGUCUGCAUGGUCAUCUGCUCAACUCAUUUAUAAA
RNAcentral lists this non-coding RNA (838 nucleotides) under Pan troglodytes (chimpanzee). Lineage: Eukaryota; Metazoa; Chordata; Mammalia; Primates; Hominidae. The record is from RNAcentral.